GGGUCAGUAGGUUGGUCGUGCCACCGGUACGUACUGGUCUCACUGAUUCCUCCUUCCUGAAGAACCGUAAUGCCAUUAAUUUGGUGUUGCGGGGAAACAGGACUGUUACUUUGAAAAAAUUAGAGUGUUUAAAGCAAGCUAACGCUUGAAUACAUUAGCAUGGAAUAAUGAAAUACGACGAUCGAUCCUAUAUUGUUGGUUUCUAGGAUUGACGUA
This 216-nucleotide ribosomal RNA is filed under the name Glomeromycotina sp. RNAcentral's name for it is "partial small subunit ribosomal RNA". The stretch from base 40 to 216 matches the Rfam family "Eukaryotic small subunit ribosomal RNA", at positions 686 to 864 of the family's 1831-position model. The record is from RNAcentral. Lineage: Eukaryota; Fungi; Glomeromycota.